Molecule: long non-coding RNA, 378 nt
Filed under: Eucalyptus grandis
Lineage: Eukaryota; Viridiplantae; Streptophyta; Magnoliopsida; Myrtales; Myrtaceae
Description: long non-coding RNA (EGRA_LNC006756)
Source: RNAcentral
UUCUGCACACUGUGUUUGAACUAAACGACAUACUCUAAAGUCUGACAAUUAAAAGUUAUGCUGGAAAAUUCAUUAAAGAAAUGGAGCCUAGUCUGCUAUCCAAUUCAUGCAAGCAGGAUAGAAGUUUGGAAUGUUCAUGCGAAUUUUCAAGUCUUGCCCAAAGUGGCUGUGAGAGAGGGGGGGGGCAUUUAUAUGAUAGUUGUGAGCUGUAAGCACAAUAUUGAUAGGAAAUGCUAGUGUGUUCAAGGAGACAGCCCCUAGCCCUUCUGCUGUUAGCUUGGGUAAGGUUAACUUCUUUACAAUAUUCAAAUAUCAAACCGCAUCUCUAUCCAACAGCUUUGAGAAGGGUAACUUCUUUACAACAUUCAAAUAUCAAAC